Molecule: unclassified non-coding RNA, 975 nt
Filed under: Pomacea canaliculata
Lineage: Eukaryota; Metazoa; Mollusca; Gastropoda; Architaenioglossa; Ampullariidae
Description: uncharacterized LOC112562532, transcript variant X1
Source: RNAcentral
UGCCCCCAAAUAACUGGUCUUCCGGAUUUCCUAGUGGACGACUGUUUCAUUGCUCAACUCACGUUUGUGGCAUCAUUCAUCUGUUUGCACAGUCGUCAUGGAUCCCAAACGAACUGUUUCAGAGGGAGAGGAAUUAUCCUCAUCGAAUCCAUCCAAAAAACAGAGAAGAGCUAACUGGACGAGCCGGGAAAUUUGGAUGCUUUUGGAAGAGGUGAAGCUGGAAAGAGAGUGCAUUAUGUGCCCACAGACAAAUGAAACCUCCAAUAAGAAAAAAGCGGUGACAUGGCAGAAGAUAGCUGACCGAUUGACCGCAACUUGUGGUGUUGACAUACGGACAGCGCAGAAUGUAAGAGAAAAGUGGGGGUUCCUUAAAUCUGAUGCCCAGAGCCGCAGGCACAAACAAAAGACCUUAGGUGGGGGUGCAGUGAAAGAAAGUGAAUAUGAUAACAUGAUUCUGGAGAUAAUUGGUGAAGACUCUGCCCUCAUAGAUGGCAUAAAUGUUGAAGGAACAGAGACCUUUAUUCUGCAAACAAAGAUGAAUUGUUCAGCUGAACCUUUAGUGUUGCUUGCAAAAAACAAUGCACCAGUCCAUGAAGAAAAUAUUCCACAGCCACAAGAGGACAUUCCAUUGACCCCAAGCUUCACAGAAAGAGUUCUGGACUUGGAACAUGAUGUUUCACAGAUUUCGAAAGAUGAAGGAUUUCAUCUGUGGUCUCACCUCGGCCCGUGACACUUUGUGAUGAUAACCACUACACUAACUGUACUGGAUCAGUUGGGCCUUGGUCAACAAGGAUUACACCUUCCACUGCCCUCCAGGGACCGUAGCUAUGGAUUGGAGGUAAAAAAAAUGAGAAGAAGAGUGUGCUACAGUAUCCAUUUGCAGAAAGUUCCCUCAUGGAAGAAUUCCUUAAAUCAGAAAUUGAACGGAACAAGUCGAUUGUUGAACUUAACAAGCUCAAAGCCGAAAAGCUAAAG